This is a long non-coding RNA of Chelonia mydas (Green sea turtle), 205 nucleotides long. RefSeq lists it as uncharacterized. The transcript is spliced from 3 exons. Lineage: Eukaryota; Metazoa; Chordata; Testudines; Cheloniidae. The record is from RefSeq and is a predicted model, not a curated record.
AAUGUUAGAAGUAGUCCUACCAGAGACAGAUCAACAUGCAAAGAGCAUCUGAGGAGCAUGAUAACUAUAAUUGAUUACAGGUCUCUGCAGUGUCAUUUGCCCUCACCAUCAGAUAUGGAGUACAGCUAUUGUUUCUCUUUAUCCUUUACUACACUAUGCUGUGAGCUGUAGCUCACGAAAGCUCAUGCUCAAAUAAAUUGGUUAG